AACGAACGCUGGCGGCGUGCCUAACACAUGCAAGUCGAACGAGAAAGGGGCUUCGGCCCUGAGUAAAGUGGCGCACGGGUGAGUAACACGUAGGCAACCUGCCUCUAAGAUUGGGAUAACUUGUCGAAAGACGAGCUAAUACCGGAUAAGACCACAGUUUCCCCGGAAACAGGGGUCAAAGGUAGCCUCUAUUUAUAAGCUAUCACUUAGAGAUGGGCCUGCGUACCAUUAGCUUGUUGGUGGGUAACGCCCACAAGGCAAAGAUGGUUAGCUGGUCUGAGAGGAUGAUCAGCCACACUGGAACUGAGACACGGUCCAGACUCCUACGGGUGGCAG
This 336-nucleotide ribosomal RNA is filed under the name uncultured Pseudomonadota bacterium. RNAcentral describes it as "bacterial SSU rRNA". It matches the Rfam family "Bacterial small subunit ribosomal RNA", at positions 29 to 351 of the family's 1533-position model. Lineage: Bacteria; Pseudomonadati; Pseudomonadota. The record is from RNAcentral.